This is a long non-coding RNA of Marmota monax (woodchuck), 5453 nucleotides long. RefSeq lists it as uncharacterized. The record is from RefSeq and is a predicted model, not a curated record. The transcript has 3 exons. Lineage: Eukaryota; Metazoa; Chordata; Mammalia; Rodentia; Sciuridae.
GUCCCCGAGGAGCUGCGCGUUCGAGUAUCAGAUGAGGAUUGUCUGUGGGAUCGUUUUCUCUUGGGAGUUACUGGUCGCACAUACAGACAAUGAAUGGGGGAAAGGGGCGAUGGGGGACCCUGUCCCUGUCUCCAAGCUCUGGGAGGGGCCUCCCUGGUGCUUCCCGGCCUGGGCGAUGUCCGAGUGUCCGCUCGGCGCCAGGCCAGAGCUCCGGCGAACAAGCCCCCGCCCCUCCCGCGGGUCGGGUUCCUCUGCCCGGGCUCGAAUUCCGGCGCCGUCCCCUCCCCGUCCCCAGUCCGAGGGCAGCUCAGCCCAGCCGGGAUCCGUUUCAGGACACUGCAGCCGCGGCUAAAGAUAGGAGAACAUCUCACCAUCGGCUAAAAAUACGGCCCGAGCCCAGGCGGGGACACUGGGUGGCCGGAGGACGCUUCUGGGUGCCCGGGGCUAGGACCGAGGUUCCGGCAGAUUGGAAGGAGGACUGGAGAUUUUAAGGUGGAAGUGCGGCGCCCCACGGGCCGUGCGGGUCACGGGUGGGGCUGCGGGGAUCGAGGCGCAGGAGGAAAAGCCCACCGAGCCCGAGAACCUGAGCGGUGGUGAAGCCGGGACCCGGGCGCGAUCGGGGACCCGGAGCCUCUGGAAUGGGCCUCUCAGGGGACCCCGCGGAGCCGCGGGAGAGCUGCAGAAACCCUGGCCCGAACUCACCAUCAGGAGCGCUGUCAGCGGACCCGCGGGAAGCGAAAGCUCGGAGCUGGACCGCGAGGCUGUGGGACCCGACCCGGGCUGUGAACUUACUGUGCGGACAGUGGCCCUAAAGCCCCGCCCCCGUCCUGCAGAUCCAAUGACGAUGCCGCCCCAGUAGGACCACGCCCACAGCCCCGCCCCGCCCGGGCACCGCCCAGGGCUCCCCUAGUGCAGAGGCGCUUGGUUGGGGUACGGAGGCCUCACGCUCCCAAGGGCGCGGUCCUGCUUCCGUUGUUGCUGGCCGGCUCUGUCCGAUACCGGGGGUGGACUCCCUGGACUCAAGACUGUGCCCUCUGGAGCCAAACCCUUGGUUCUAGAAGGCCCGGGGAAGCGGCUGCUAGAAGACCCAAUUCUUCGUAUUCACUGGGCAUCACUGGACCUAUUAAGGGCUGUGUUCGGGGAGGCCCUACUACGCGAAUGAAUGGGGCAUUGGAAGUGUCCACGUUAAAAUCUUACAAACUCAUGAGCAUUUUGAAGAGCUUAUAAGCUCUCCUAGAAGAGCCAGAGGAGAGACAGAAAGAGAGACUGAGAGAGAGAGAGAAAGAGAGAGACCGCAGUGUGUGGUCUGGGCACACCUGUAUUUGCUGACCAGCUAGGUGACUUCCAGAGAGGAGGUGGGGCUCUGACUCACUUCAUGGACUCAUACAAUUAUUGACGGGCAGGACUUCACAGGGUCUGGAGAUAACUGAGGGAAACUCUGUCCUUGUUCCAUUCAGUGAUUCAACAGAUAUAUGUUGAGCAUCUGCUAUGGAUUAAGCUCUGGGAAUUCAGCACCCCCUGGGUUGGAACCUACAGCACAGUAAAGGGAAAGUCAAGAAAUCAAGGUCCCAAGCACAAAGUGAUAUCCUUCCACGUGGGUCAGUGCUAAGAUUCAGGCAAAUGAAGAGGGGGAUAGUGAUCUGGUGAGGAGAUCUUCAUUUUCUGCGGAGUGUCAGCCCAGAAGAUGAGGCUGUCCCUUGGCUGGGGACCCCAGAGUCCCUGAGGAGGUUCUGCUGAAUGGAUGAGAUCUUUGUGUAUACACCCAGCAUCGCUGCAGGGACCUGCAAUUAAGCAUUUCUAAAAUGGGACUCCAGUUACUAAAACUGGCUUUUCCACACAGCUUCUCAGGAUGCCUGCCAAUCGCAGCUCUUCCCUCCUGCUCUUCACCCCCCUCAGAGAACUGGACCCAGCAGAGGCUGGGACUGGAGAUGACUGGGCACUCUGCCUUACCCCAGCCCACUCCCUGGGCCUUGGGCCGCUCUUUGGGAGUUGCAUGGUGGCAGGGCCUUGCCGGAGGAACUUUUCUUUAUGCCUGAAGUUUGGCUUCUGGCCCAGUGACAUGGGGGUUUCCAGAACGGUGACAGCCCUGUCCUAGCAGGGACAGGCCCAGGCACUUCCUCCCAGAGCCUUUGGGAACGUCAGCCCCACGGCUGUCACUGGGCGUAGGGAACAGUUGUGGAGUCAGCAGAGGCUGUCUUCAGUGCUUCCCACGCCUUCAGGGACACCAUGUCAUUAAUCUCAAAACCCAUCUUCUCCUUGCCCAGGGCUGAGCUGGAGCAGAGAAGACAUAGGUGGCCAAGCUGGGCCCAGCCCUCAGAGAACAGCUAACCCCUCAGGAAACAAAUAACCAACUCCAAGACAGCAGGAGGUGUGCCGUGGCCAGGGCCUGUGGUAGAGGCAGCUCUGAAUCACCUUGGCUCAGGUGGAGAACCCAAGAGAACAGCCAUAGAAGAAUUUGUCCUGCCAAGGGAUGGAAGCAGAAGGGACAGUCAGAAGGGCCUCGAGGAGAAGGUGACAAGUGAGCAGGGUGGACAGGUGAAAGGGAGUUUGCUGGGCCGAGAAAGGGAAGGACACUGGAGCUGCCAUCGGUGUCCACUGCAGGCGGAGCAGGAAUAGUCCUGGUGAAGGCAGAGGCACUGGGUGAUCAGGAGGCAAGAGAUGUCCAGCAGGCCUGUCCUGGGGGUCAGUCCAGGCGGGGAGAGGGUGAGCACUGUCUUCCCUGCCCGGCAUCUGUCCCUUUAUUCUGGCGUUGUCCAAAAUACAGUCUUGCAGAGUCUCCAGAAACAUGGUGCCUACCCCGAGCUCUAAAAGUGGGUUUGAAGCUUGUGCUUGGCCACGCUGGGCCAUUCCUAGGCUCAGGGAUGGGCGUGUAACACCAAUGGGCAUCAGUCUGGGGACUUGCUGGGAGUCAGGGUUACGAAUGCCAAGAUGCCAGCCCCCAAAGGCUGCUGGUCAUUUUUACCACCCUGAGGGAAGAGCCUGCUUGAGAACAAACAGAGCCAAGCAGAGCCAGAGACUGAAUCUCAAUGAUGUUGCUCGUGAGCUCCUAGAUCCGGUCAUGCCUGAAACAGUUUCCAUUGCAUAAACCAACAAAUUCCAGUUCUGCUUAACUUAGUUGGGGUUGGUUUCUGUUACUGGCCACUGAGAGGUAAAAUCCUACUACAGAAUAACUGAAGGGAGGUGAUAGCUCCUGAGAAUUUCUGACUGCCUCGGGAAGCAUAUCGAGGGCCUGUGGCCUGAUACGACUAGCAGUUUUUUCACUUGAAUUACUUUUUGGAUAAGGACAUGAUUUCAUGUGGUUCAAAAUUCAGAAAAUUCAAGAGGCAAAGUCUUACCUCUGUCACCCACUUCCCCUCCCGGAGACAAUGGAUGUGACCAGUUUCUUGUACCCCUGCUAGAGUUGUUCUUUAAGUUCAACCAAAGCCUCGCCCAUCUUUUUGACACAAAUAGCCAAUAUAUAGACAAGUACAGCCCCAAAGUCCUGUAGGCCCUCAUGGGAGCCAGGGGAGGGCUGAACCCCUUGUUGGGGGCCUCCACUAUCCAUACUGGUCUUCACUUUGCUUUUUUUUUUUUUUCUCAGUUAACAUUAUAUUUUGGUUUGAAUAUGCUUUGUUUCCUCAGCAAACUCAGUUGAAGUUUAAUCCCCCUUGUGAGCCAGUGUGGUGGUGCACAAUAAUCCCAUCAGCUCAGGAGGCCCAAGCAGGAGGAUCGAGAGUUCAAAACCAGCGUCAGCAACUUAGCGAGGCCCUAAGCAACUCAGCAAGAUCCUAUUUCUAAAUAGAAUGCAAAAAAGGGCUGGGGUUGUGGCUCGGUGGUUAAGCAGGUUCAAUCCCUAGUACCCAAAAUAAAUAAGUAAGUAAAUAAAUAAACAAAUAGGUCCCCAUUGUGAGGCAUUGAGAGAGUAGAAAUAUAAUCUGACCAUGAAUGGAGAUAAGUCUUUGUGGGGUGAUUAGGAUUAAAGUCAUGGGGUGGGCCCUUCCCCAUGAUUGGAUUCUGGUGGCUUUAUUAAAAAGAGAGUGAUCCAGGCUCAAGGGUGCUACUCCCAGCUACUUGGGAGGCUGAGGCAUGAGGAUUCCCAAGUUCGAGGCUAGCCUGGGCAACUUUGCAAGACUGUUUCUCAACAUAAAAAUAUAAAGAGGGGUUGGGGAUGUGGCUCAGGGUAGAGAUCCCCUGGUUCAAUCCCCAGUGCCACCUCCCCCACUGCACACACUCCCUGUCUCUUGUCAUUUCAUACCCCAUGCAGCAUGGAGACUCUGCCAGCAAAAGGCCAUCACCAACAUGUGGCCCUUCCACCUUGGACAUCUGGUCCUGUGAGCCAAAUUAAACCUCUUUUCUGAGGACAUGGAGGUGGACACCUGUAAUCCCAGCCGGAUGUGGCUCACUGGUAAAGCACCUCCAAGAUCAAUUCCUGGUACAAAAACAAACCCUCUUUUCUUUAUUGCUUCCCAGUCUAUGGUAUUGUAUGAAGAGCAACAGAAACGGAACUAGUGCCUCUGCACCAGGAUGAGGAGUGUGUUCUCCAGAUCACAUUUUUACAGCUAUAUGGUUUUCCAGCUCAGGAGUAGCCUGUGAGUCACAGAGGCACGUCUGGGGGCGGGGGGUGCAGCAAGUCAUGCUGUCAGUGCUGUUCCACACAUGCCUGAGAGACUUCUAGCAAGAUGUAAGGGGGGCCCUGUACCGCUGUGCAGGCCUGUAAUCCCAGCAGCUCAGGAGGCUGAGGCCGGAGGAUCACAAGUUCAAAGCCAGCCUCAGCAAUUUAGCAAAGUCCUAAGCAACUUAGUGAGACCCUGUUUCAAGACAAAAUAUAAAAAGGGCUGGGAAUGUGGGUUGGUGGUUAAGUGCCCCUGGGCUCAAUCCCUGGUAUCAAAAAAAAAGGGUGAAUGCGACAAAUCCUUCCCGAACUCCCCCACCCCAAAGCCUGAGCCUCUGCACCCCUUCCCAGAGGCCUCUUCUGCUGCCAGAAGUGUCCUAGGGAGCUGGCUACUCAAAGGGCCUUGGAGUCCUUGAGUGGACAGGGCCUUGUGAAGAGCCUUCCAGGAAUCGGGAGCAACGCUGGGUCUCCCCACGUGCCCCGCUCUGUGCUGGGAGAGCAGGUGAGCAGGGCUCAGCGCUGAUGGAGGGGACAGGACGAAGACCCUCACCCAGUGUCUCCCACUCCUGCUGGGGGAAGCUGCUUCCUCUGAGGGGCUGGGGGCUGCCCCUGCCCGCUGGCCUCUCCCUCCCUACUCCUCCCAGUGAGGCUGUUGACUCAGCCUCCGAGGCUUGGUUGUCUUUCUCAGCAUGAAAUGCUUCAGACCCCAGGAGGAUGUGGCAAUGAUAAGAGCAGGCAGAGGAGAACCCGCAGGCCAUGGACAGGCGCCCGGGUUGCCAGGGAGCAGGGUCAGCAGGGUCAGAGGGCAGCAGCUGUCCCUGAGACCUUUAAGAGGCCCCGGGUCUAGGCAGCUGCAGGUCCU